Molecule: ribosomal RNA, 293 nt
Filed under: Thelepus corsicanus
Lineage: Eukaryota; Metazoa; Annelida; Polychaeta; Terebellida; Terebellidae
Description: partial large subunit ribosomal RNA
Source: RNAcentral
UACUUCUAAAGGACAAAAAGACCCUAAAGAGCUCCGUUAAUAUUUAUUAAUAAUAAUUAUUAUUUAUAUAUAACACCUACUUCAAAUAUUAACUUAACUGGGGCGGUUAAGGAAUAAUUUUAAUCUUCCAUCUACAAACYUAACGAUUUACAUAUCUACUAACAAUUGAUCCUUAUAAGAACACAGAAAAAAGCUACCUUAGGGAUAACAGAUUAAUCCUCCUCAAGAGUACACAUUGACAGGAGGGAUUGACACCUCGAUGUUGGCUUAGGGUUACUUGAGGGUAGCAGAAG